Molecule: ribosomal RNA, 17 nt
Filed under: Boletus edulis
Lineage: Eukaryota; Fungi; Basidiomycota; Agaricomycetes; Boletales; Boletaceae
Also listed under: 4 other names
Description: partial 28S ribosomal RNA
Source: RNAcentral
CUUGACCUCAAAUCAGG